UACGUAGGGUGCAAGCGUUGUCCGGAAUUAUUGGGCGUAAAGAGCUCGUAGGCGGUCUGUCGCGUCGGCUGUGAAAUCCCGAGGCUCAACCUCGGGUCUGCAGUCGAUACGGGCAAACUAGAGUAUUGCAGGGGAGACUGGAAUUCCUGGUGUAGCGGUGAAAUGCGCAGAUAUCAGGAGGAACACCCGUGGCGAAGGCGGCCCACUGGGCCGGUACUGACGCUGAGGCGCGAAAGCGUGGGGAGCAAACAGG
Molecule: ribosomal RNA, 253 nt
Filed under: uncultured bacterium
Lineage: Bacteria
Description: partial 16S ribosomal RNA
Rfam family: Bacterial small subunit ribosomal RNA
Source: RNAcentral